GUCUAUGGCCAUACCACCCUGAAUGCACCUGGUCUCGUCUGAUCUUGCAAACUAAGCAGGGUCAAGGCUUGGUUAAGAUUUGGAACAGCAGAACAACUUAAAUUCUCAACUAGUUAUGGGUC
RNAcentral lists this ribosomal RNA (122 nucleotides) under Fukomys damarensis (Damara mole-rat). Lineage: Eukaryota; Metazoa; Chordata; Mammalia; Rodentia; Bathyergidae. The record is from RNAcentral.